RNAcentral lists this unclassified non-coding RNA (341 nucleotides) under soil metagenome. RNAcentral's name for it is "partial contains 5.8S ribosomal RNA, internal transcribed spacer 2, and large subunit ribosomal RNA". The stretch from base 1 to 120 matches the Rfam family "5.8S ribosomal RNA", at positions 35 to 154 of the family's 154-position model. The record is from RNAcentral.
GAUGAAGAACGUAGCGAAAUGCGAUAAGUAGUGUGAAUUGCAGAAUUCAGUGAAUCAUCGAAUCUUUGAACGCACAUUGCGCCCCUUGGUAUUCCAUGGGGCAUGCCUGUUCGAGCGUCAUUUGUACCCUCAAGCUAUGCUUGGUGUUGGGUGUUUGUCCUCUCCGUUUGCGAUUGGACUCGCCUUAAAGACAUUGGCAGCCAGUGUAUUGGUCUUGAAGCGCAGCACAUUUUGCGAUUCUUGCUGAUAAUCACUAGCGUCCAGUAAGCCUAUUUUAACACUUUUGACCUCGGAUCAGGUAGGGAUACCCGCUGAACUUAAGCAUAUCAAUAAGCGGAGGA